AGAGUUUGAUCCUGGCUCAGAAUGAACGUUGGCGGCGUGGAUUAGGCAUGCGAGUCGUGCGAGAACCGUAGCAAUACGGGGACAGCGGCGAAAGGGAGAGGAACACGUGGAUACCUACCCUCAGGUUCAGGAUAGCUAUGGGGAAACUAUAGGUAAUACUGAAUAAUAUCUCCGGAUCAAAGGUGUGAUUCCGCCGGAGGAGGGGUCCGCGUCCUAUUAGCUAGUUGGUGAGGUAAUGGCUCACCAAGGCGAAGAUGGGUACGGGAUGUGAGAACAUGAUCCCGCUCAUUGGGACUGAGACACUGCCCAGACACCUACGGGUGGCUGCAGUCGAGAAUCUUCGGCAAUGGGGGAAACCCUGACCGAGCGACGCCGCGUGUGAGAUGAAGGCCUUCGGGUUGUAAAUCACUGUCGUAGAGGAGGAAGUGUAGGUGGGUUCUCCCACUUAUUUGACCUAUUCUAGGAGGAAGGACGGGCUAAGUUCGUG
This 487-nucleotide ribosomal RNA is filed under the name uncultured bacterium. RNAcentral's name for it is "bacterial SSU rRNA". It matches the Rfam family "Bacterial small subunit ribosomal RNA", at positions 8 to 507 of the family's 1533-position model. The record is from RNAcentral.